Molecule: unclassified non-coding RNA, 222 nt
Filed under: Hevea brasiliensis (rubber tree)
Lineage: Eukaryota; Viridiplantae; Streptophyta; Magnoliopsida; Malpighiales; Euphorbiaceae
Source: RNAcentral
UGAGAAUCCAUGGCUGAGCGAUGUCGGAGCUGCGUAGCGAAGCUCAUCGGGGCCGUCCACAAUCGAAUCUAAUUGUCGCACCCAACACUGCUGUGAGGACCAUAAGGAGGCAGAGAACGCCGGUGUGGAGCCGCAACUGGCCAUUCCUCAGGGCGAUGGUUUCACAGUUACCGCACGAGCGCACCAACACCACCAUGGCCAAGGAAAAGUAAGUGAGGCAUA